RNAcentral lists this transfer RNA (58 nucleotides) under Salmo salar (Atlantic salmon). It matches the Rfam family "tRNA", at positions 8 to 63 of the family's 71-position model. From Rfam's summary of the family: Transfer RNA (tRNA) molecules are approximately 80 nucleotides in length. Their secondary structure includes four short double-helical elements and three loops (D, anti-codon, and T loops). Further hydrogen bonds mediate the characteristic L-shaped molecular structure. tRNAs have two regions of fundamental functional importance: the anti-codon, which is responsible for specific mRNA codon recognition, and the 3' end, to which the tRNAs corresponding amino acid is attached (by aminoacyl-tRNA synthetases). tRNAs cope with the degeneracy of the genetic code in two manners: having more than one tRNA (with a specific anti-codon) for a particular amino acid; and 'wobble' base-pairing, i.e. permitting non-standard base-pairing at the 3rd anti-codon position. Lineage: Eukaryota; Metazoa; Chordata; Actinopteri; Salmoniformes; Salmonidae. The record is from Rfam by way of RNAcentral.
UGGCUCAGUAGGUAGAGCAUGGUGUGUGCAACGCCAGGGUUGUGGGUUUGAUUCCCAC